AUGGGGAUUUCUCCGCCACAGAAAAAAAGAAGAGAGAGAGCAGCGCCCCGCUCGUCCUCGGCCGGCCGUGCUUGCCGGUCGCCCACGGGCGCCCUCGGCUGGUCGCGAGGGCACACCGCAUCAGGUCGACGAGCACCACAUCAGGUCGUCGUCAUCCUAGGCGUGCAGCCGUCGUCGUUCCCGUGCUCGCUGGCUGCUCUUGCCUUCUGCAGUUGUUCGCUCGCCCUCGCCUGUUUGCGGUCGCCUCCUGUUGGAGCACCGCACCGCCCUCUCCGCUCCAAGCUACAUAGCCGCCGCGCUGGUUGCCUCCUGUUGAAGCAUCAGUUGGUAGUUUCAUGGAGAAAAAUGGAUGUAGCCAUGUAG
RNAcentral lists this ribosomal RNA (363 nucleotides) under Triticum aestivum (bread wheat). RNAcentral's name for it is "partial small subunit ribosomal RNA". The record is from RNAcentral. Lineage: Eukaryota; Viridiplantae; Streptophyta; Magnoliopsida; Poales; Poaceae.